CAGGUCUUAAGCGACACGUACAUCAGUGACGUAAAAUAUUAUGCUCAGUAGCUCAGGUUUUAAAAAGCGCAUCUUUUUUACAGAUCCGGUAUUAUUCGACAAGCAUUCAAUCGUCCUAGUCAGGUAUUUUGUGGCAUUCAUUUGUUGUAACAACUGUUAAAAGGCUGAGAUAUCUGUAUCAGUGUCUGAAAUGGAGCCUCCGGUCAGCAAAUUCUAUUUGGAUCUAGCUUUCUUAGACAAUCAAAAGCAAAGCACAUGCGAUUAUAUCAUAAAUGGGACGCUAAUUAUCUUGGUUUAUAUUACAACAAUUUUGAUGGCUGGUCGGAAUAUCAUAGCUUUAUUUUUGAUGACAUACCUUAGUGACGCUGCUUAAAAUACGAUCAUGAAUAACGUUUGUACAAAACAUGUUUGGCUGUAAAUUUGCCACCUGUUAUUUUUGAAAUUAAAUUUUGAUUUAUUCGUGCUGUGCAUUACGUACAUAUCUGUUUGUAUGAAUAUUAUAUGCGAUUGUUAGUUUUUUUAAUUCUGGGUAUGUGCUUCUAUCAUUGGAAACACAUGUCUUCAUUCUGUAUUUCCAGUUUCAAAAUUCACUUGAUGUAAAAAUUGUUAUUUAUAGUAAUAAAGAAGCAAUGAUGAAAAACAUUUGA
Molecule: long non-coding RNA, 647 nt
Organism: Stegodyphus dumicola
Lineage: Eukaryota; Metazoa; Arthropoda; Arachnida; Araneae; Eresidae
Source: RefSeq, a predicted model, not a curated record